AAAAUUUUGUUGAUAUGAAUUGAGGAGAGUAUCAUCAUAAUCUAAUUUAUAUGAGGGAUUUUAUUUGAGCACAUACUCUCUACGUUCAUAUUACUUUAAAAAAAAAUUGAACAAUAUUACUUUUAAUUAAACUAUUAAUAUCUUUUUAAAUUCAAAUUUACUACUUAAAAUUGUCCUCGUACACCUAAUUUAAUAUGUAUUUAACUUUACAUCCAUUUAAAAAUAAAAAGCCAAAAUCAGUUGAAAAGGACUCUGAUUCUGCAACCAUUUCCAUAUCUAAUUUUAAAAUGUGCGAACUUGCUACUCCAAUAUUUCCCAUAAAAGAAGUGAACACGCAGGAUGGUGAUCCUCUUCUCUAUUCUCGCUAAAGUCGAAAAUGUAGGCACAAUAAUAUACAUUGUUCUCAUCUGUAUAAGAAGAAUGAUAUUCAUUAUCAUCACUGUCCCGAUCUUCUUCUUCUUUACCAAAAAAAAUCUUCUUCUUUUUUAUCAAAACCCAACUUCAAUUCCACUUCAUCACCAUCUCCAAAGCUUAUUUUGUGCGAGCUAUAUCAACGUUUCCACACUCACUGUCACCAUUUUGGACCAAGGCGUAUACCAUGCCACGCUUAAACAAUACAUCAAUUUGACCAUGGUCAAUCUUUAAUCAAUUUGGAAGAGAUUCCAACUUUUUACUCUCGGUCUGCACAAACCCAAUUCCCUAGAAUGAAACACUGCCGCCAGACGUUAUGAUAUAUUUGAACUAGAUACUACUAUUUUCACAGGAAGCAAUUUCACAGGAAGCAAUAAACGAGCUUUAGAUAAAAAUUGAGCGAUGGUAGGUUUGAUUUUGGGGGUAAGUAUAAUAUUUUUAGUUUUACUGUUAAAUUUAUUUUGUACUUGAUUGUAAAUAUGCAAUAAGAAAAAAAGAUAAAUUUUAAGUUUGACGUUAUAUGAAUUCAAAUAAUUUUUUUUCUUUAUUUAAGUUGGUGCUUUCAAUCUCGAUGGGGCCACCAUCUUGCUCACGGAAGCCAUUGUUUUAAGGAAAGGUCUUUCUUUUGCCAGGUGCAAAGGUGUGAGAAAGCUUGUGGUGGAGGGGGAUUCCAAACUCAUCAUUCAGGUGGUGCAGUCAUAGUGGAAACCCCUUUGGCAUCUUAUACCGAUCAUCCUAUUUAUUGUAAUAAUAAGAUUGUGUAAAUCCUAGGAAAUUCUUACGAGAUUCUGUCAUAUCUAUUAGAUAGUAUAUUGUUUAAGUUGUAAUACCUAAAGGGUAAGGAAUUUACUUUUUUUACUACUUUAAAUUAAAUAAAUUUACAAUAGGGUGAAAAAUCACACCUCAAAAUUCAUCAAAUUUUCUCUAUGCUAGCCACACCGUCUCUCUCAAUUUCUCUCUAAUUAUUCACUUAAAAGGCCCUACAACAGAUCUUUCAUUUAUUAAUGGAGGCAAAUAAUACUAGAGUGCAAUACUACACGGAUAUCUUUUAUUGAUUAAAGUGCACCGACAUUGUAUCAGUUUUCUUGCGCUGGUAUAUGUUGCAUAUUUUAUAUUCUCAGUCCAUACCAAACCACCAAUCCAUUCCCAAUCAAGUUGAAUGCCAAGCUUCCUUGAGAGUCAAUAGACUCUGUGUCUGAAUAUAAACAAGAAAUAGGAUAGGGCACACAUGAAUGGAGCUCACAAGAAAAUUAGAUAGUCAAUGAACCUAAAAUGGGUAAAGACUAAACCUUGUUUGAAUGUGUUUGGUGGGCAAUUCCUUGUUACAUCGGGAAUUAGGUUGUCAUUCAGAAUCACUCGAUCCUCCAAUCAGUCACAGACAAAUAAUAUCCACGUGACUAGUAAAAUUGUCCAUGAGAUAAUCUCUAUUCGAGGGCAUUUGAAUAAUGUUAGUCCCAAAAUUGAACAAAACAUACUCCAGCCAUAAGAUUUUUGCAAAUAGGCGUAUUUUAAUCAGCCUCAAGUUAGGCUAAAAGGUCAAACUUUGAACACUUGUACUAUGCUUGGAUGAAGAAAUUUCAUAUUAUUAAGGAAUUUUAAAAUGAUGAAAUUUUAUUUUCUAGAAUUUGUAAAUUUUCUUGUUUGGUUAACCUAAAGAAACAAAGG
RNAcentral lists this long non-coding RNA (2076 nucleotides) under Malus domestica (apple). RNAcentral describes it as "long non-coding RNA (MDOM_LNC020376)". The record is from RNAcentral. Lineage: Eukaryota; Viridiplantae; Streptophyta; Magnoliopsida; Rosales; Rosaceae.